This 46-nucleotide ribosomal RNA is filed under the name Henriettea multiflora. Its description in RNAcentral is "partial 26S ribosomal RNA". Lineage: Eukaryota; Viridiplantae; Streptophyta; Magnoliopsida; Myrtales; Melastomataceae. The record is from RNAcentral.
GCGAUCCCAGGUCAGGCGGGACUACCCGCUGAGUUUAAGCAUAUCA